CUUUACCAAUGCUAUUCCUUUACCUUCUUUUUAUAGGUGAUUCAGAUGUAACCGUCGAGCACGUGGUCCUACUGUUUAUGGUACUAAAAUAUAAUUAUCGGUAUAUUAUCCUAGAGUUAAUGGGCUGUUUAUGCCCACUAAUAAUCGUGACAUGUAGUUGAUAACCGUUUAUAAUAAUUAGACACAUAGGUUUUGCACAUUCCAACAUUAUGUGAUCAUGGGAUAGGCGGCUACACCCAUCACUGAUCAUGUUCUGGCCAUUAUGCACUUUUGGUGCUAGUAGUUUCAGAUAAGCCGACUAUAUGUUUGUAAUAAUAGUAUGUUGGUAGUCGUAG
RNAcentral lists this long non-coding RNA (335 nucleotides) under Elaeis guineensis (African oil palm). Its description in RNAcentral is "long non-coding RNA (EGUI_LNC020396)". The record is from RNAcentral. Lineage: Eukaryota; Viridiplantae; Streptophyta; Magnoliopsida; Arecales; Arecaceae.